UCACUACAAAUCACUUGUAAUCUACUGUUAUUUAAUUAACAAUUUAAAAAAACUAUAUCAAAUCCACUGUUAUUCAAAGAUAAACAAUUUUGAAAAGAAAAAACUAUGAAAGGGAUUUAAAGCAAACCUUUUUGACUGAAAAUAAUAAAAAUGUCUAACCAUCUCUCUUACUACAGUUUUGACUGAAAUAAUAAAAAGGUCACUCUAGUACCCCGGAAGAUACGCUUUCAAAGGCUAUCACCCUAGCGAGGGAAUGGUGUGCAAAAGACAAGCCACCCAUCUCCAAACCGUCUUGUGUUGAGAUUUCUCUGCAACCACCACCAUUUACAGUGACAAUCAGGUCCGAUGCUGCGUGGUCUCCACAGGGAACGGCUGCUGGAUUGGGAUGUUUCGUCAUAACACCGGCAGGGACAAGAACGCAUAGCAAAAGCCUGACGCAUGUCAACUCGGUGUUACUAGCAGAAGGACUUGCUUUGCUGGAAGCAGUCAAACUAGGAGUGCAGCAGGAGCUAAGAAUGGUUUGUUUUGAGUCGGAUUCUUCUCAACUUAUAACAGCGAUCAACGCGAGAGGAUGCUUGCCUGAGCUAUAUGGAGUGAUGGAAGAUAUUUUCUCCUUUCUUUCUCUUUUCGAGUUUGUUUCUUUUAGCUGGAUUCCCCGUGAGAGAAAUCUCCAAGCAGAUAGGCUUGCCAAGGCAGCCUUAAAUGUAUGUGCACCCCAAGUGGUUGAAGGAGUAGUUAUUGCUCCCAACUAAACUUUGAAUUGCAAUGAAUGAAGUUGUGUUUCAAAAAAAAAGAGAAAUCACACCUUUGUACCUGGUAUUUUAGAAAGACCCAAAAUCAACAUUAAAAAGUUGACGGAAGGAAAAGACAAUCCAUAUCUCGAGCACUACGGGAAGAUGAAGCUCACAUCUUUGUACCUGUUACUCAACCACCUUCUCUCAAAAACUAGCAUCUACACCAGAAAUUUCUCCCUACACCUCACUGUUGACUCGAAUCUGAUUCGACUACCUCUCCGAACCCUUUCGCCCACAAGCACAGCGGUGACAAUCUGCCGCCUUUGUCAAAUCCGUAUCAGGAUUCUCAAUAUCAUACGUUGAGAUUCAGAGGAAGGUGUUGCAGGUUUAGCUAAGAUGACGACAGUAGAUGUCAUACAGCUGCUGAUUCAAUCAUAGAAGCUUUAGAGGCAGUAGACAAUGAAAAGAACUGUGUUGCUGAAUUUGAGGUAUGCAAAAAUACAAUCGGUUUCAAUUUGGUUGCUAUGGAUCAUCUAAAGUAAAAGAUGGCAUCAAUCAAAUUCUGAUGCUCCUUUCAGAGAUGCUAAAGCGAAGCUAAUGGAGAUAAGAUCACAGCAAGCUAAACGCACGGAGGCCCGUUUGGAUACGAAAACAGAGAGGAAAAGAAAGAAGAAACAAAAGAAAUUAGAGGAUGGCCAUGGACUCAUGCUUGGGCCUGAUGAUUCUCCUUUCUUACAUUUUCUUCUGUAAUGUGAAAGAGUUAAAAGUUAAAAUCCAAAAUUUUGCUAUAUGAAAAAGUUAUGAUUACUGGAUUCUUACUUCACGUUUUUUUUAAUAAUCGGAGUUUGAAGAGUACUCUGAAAAUUAAGAUCUAAUGAUCUAGAGUACUCUGAGAUUUCAUCCAAAUCUUUUUUUCCUUUUCUAAAUCUCACCUAUAUAAAUGAGAUUUAGUCCAAAUCUCUUCAAACUCCAAUAUUUCUCAAAUCCACUCAGAUCU
Molecule: long non-coding RNA, 1731 nt
Organism: Raphanus sativus (radish)
Lineage: Eukaryota; Viridiplantae; Streptophyta; Magnoliopsida; Brassicales; Brassicaceae
Exons: 3
Source: RefSeq, a predicted model, not a curated record